RNAcentral lists this ribosomal RNA (440 nucleotides) under uncultured bacterium. RNAcentral describes it as "partial 16S ribosomal RNA". It matches the Rfam family "Bacterial small subunit ribosomal RNA", at positions 338 to 795 of the family's 1533-position model. The record is from RNAcentral.
CCUACGGGAGGCAGCAGUAGGGAAUAUUGCUCAAUGGGGGAAACCCUGAAGCAGCAACGCCGCGUGGAGGAUGAAGGUUUUCGGAUUGUAAACUCCUUUUGUUAGAGAAGAUAAUGACGGUAUCUAACGAAUAAGCACCGGCUAACUCAGUGCCAGCAGCCGCGGUAAUACGGAGGGUGCACGCGUUAAUCGGAAUCACUGGGCGUAAAACGCGCGUAGGCGGGAUAGCAAGUCAGAUGUUAAAUCCUAUGGCUUAACCAUAGGACUGCAGUUGAAACUGUUAUUCUAGAGUGUGGGAGAGGUAGGUGGAAUUCGUGGUGUAGGGGUAAAAUCCGUAGAGAUCAAGAGGAAUACUGAUUGCGAAGGCGACCUGCUAGAACAUAACUGACGCUGAUGCGCGAAAGCGUGGGGAGCAAACAGGAUUAGAUACCCUAGUAGUC